AUCUUGCUGUUCCAGUUUCAAGAAGUUAAGGAAGAUAACUGGAGAUGUGAUAACGAUACCAGACUGAGAAGAAACUGACCCUCAUUAGAAAGAUGAUGGAGACCACAUUUCCCCUACGCCGACAGACCAUAGUGAUGUCCUGCCCACCAGUGAACGACCUCAUGGAUCUCUGGCUUGCUCUUAAAAUAGAGUCUGAGUUGUAUGCAGAGUUCCAGCGGAUUACAAAUCAGAACCUGCCCAACACGUGCUAUGCUGAGCUUGACCGCUAUCUUCCUCGACUGAUGACCUUAUUCAGACGGAAGGCAUCAAAAACUGGGAAGACAGCAGAUGCU
Perca fluviatilis (European perch) is the source of this 332-nucleotide long non-coding RNA. RefSeq lists it as uncharacterized. The record is from RefSeq and is a predicted model, not a curated record. The transcript is spliced from 3 exons. NCBI's taxonomy places the organism in Eukaryota, Metazoa, Chordata, Actinopteri, Perciformes, Percidae.